Molecule: long non-coding RNA, 1788 nt
Filed under: Mytilus galloprovincialis (Mediterranean mussel)
Lineage: Eukaryota; Metazoa; Mollusca; Bivalvia; Mytilida; Mytilidae
Source: RNAcentral
ACAAAAAUUAUUAAUGAAUUCUAUCCUCAUCUACAAUGCUGGUAAGUUUCAUUUGUUAUACCUUUACCGAAGUCUAUAUAAACUUUUUAGUUAAACAUUUGAAUUACAUCCACAUCAAUAAUACGUACAAUACAUACAUAUACACAAACUAUGUGACAGAAUAGCAGACGGUGUUGUAGUUAAACAUAAAUAUUAUUUUAAUAUUUCGGUUCUAAGCUUAAAAGAUCUAAAUAUGAACUUACCUAAAUUACAUAGCCCUUUAUAUUGUUUGUACACAUUAGUUUAAUAAAUUUUUACAUCGAUGUUUAUUUCCAGUAAUGUGGAUUAAUCUAAAAUGUUCAAAAACCUUUUAAUAUUCUAAUUAUAUGUCACAUAGUUGUGUUAAAUACAGCAGUGGAGUUGCUAACUUCGAUGUCUAUUUUUCUUUUACGUUUGUUAUGUCGAAUGUAAGAUAUGUUGUUAUCAUGAGAAACACGACAGGGGACACACGUAGGGCAUACUCAGAUUAAACCUCCCGGGGGCUGAUCACUCCAAGUUUUCUUUCGGGUUUCUGUUGCUCAGUCUUUAGUUUCUUAUGUUUUGUAGAAUGUUGUUAGUUUUUGUCGCAUUUUAAGUUAUUUCAUCAGUUUUUCAUUGACUUGACAGUUUUUAUUUACCCUUUCGUAUCUUGUUUAGGUGUCUGAAUAUUAUUUUAUGUGGAAUUGGUAAAUUGAAUAAGGUAGAUUGAAAGUCUUUGUGAUCAUAAAAACGAUUUGUCAGAAAAAUAAAUACUAGUAUACUGGAAACGAUUUACAUGAAGUGGGAUACUUUAUGCUUUUAAAAGACUUCUUAUUAUUACUGCUAAAUGGUGGCCCUUGUGAAAUUAGACCCAUUUGCUCCGCUACGCCGUUAAAUUCACUCUGCUGCCUAAGUUAUUACAUCCUUAAUGACUAGCAUAUAUCACGUAGAAGAUACCAGUUCUUUUUCAGAUAUAAAAAAGGAACUAUGCAAUUCUAUGUGUUGUAAUUAUAUAGUGUAACAAAAAUGAAAAACAAAUGAAAAUAAAUUGAGGCGUCCGUAUCACAUGUUUAUGGUCAUAUUUAUAAAUUAACUGUUUACUAAACUUUAAAAAUUUUGAAAUAAUAAGACUUUUAGAUAACCUUAGCUGUAUUUGGCAAAACUUUAAGGAAUUUUGGUCCUCUAUGCACUUCAACUUCGUACUUUAUUUGGCCUUUUUUUACAAUUUAUGGAUUCGAGCGUUACUGAUGAGUCUUUUGUACAUGAAACGCGCGUCUGGCGUAAAGACAAAAUUUAAUCCUGGUAUCUAUGAUGAGUUUAUUUACCCGUUUAGGAACGCUCCAAUUAAACAGUUUAUGCCGAAGGAAUCAUAAACACUAGCCUGUAAUUCAGUGGUUGUCAUGGUUAUCGUUGAUUACUGUUUGCAUUUUGAAUGUUCGUUUAUGGUUUUAAUCACAAGUCAGGACGGAUUGUUUAAUGAAUCGUUUCACUUAUUUUUCACGUUGGGGUCAUUAUAGUCUUGUACUAUACAGUAAUGGUUUUGUUUAUCGUUAAAACAGUGAUAAUUUAUAGUUGUUUACAUCUUCGUCCUUCGUUCUCUGAUGAAAAUUUGUCUAAUUAUGAUAUUUCCUUAUUUUUAUAUUGGAAACGUGAUAAGCUAUGUGAUUUGUAUCUUCUAUGAUUGUUGGUGUGAUAGUUCACUGUUUCAGAGAAUAGAAGUUGAUAUAUCCCUGUGAAAUUAUCGUACACUGAAUAUAAACAAAAUUUAUAUAUCAAAAUAAAUAAAAUUAA